AACGAACGCUGGCGGCAGGCUUAACACAUGCAAGUCGAACGCCCCGCAAGGGGAGUGGCAGACGGGUGAGUAACGCGUGGGAAUCUACCGUGCCCUACGGAACAACAGUUGGAAACUACUGCUAAUACCGUAUACGCCCUACGGGGGAAAGAUUUAUCGGGGCAUGAUGAGCCCGCGUUGGAUUAGCUAGUUGGUGGGGUAAAGGCCUACCAAGGCGACGAUCCAUAGCUGGUCUGAGAGGAUGAUCAGCCACAUUGGGACUGAGACACGGCCCAAACUCCUACGGGAGGCAGCAGUGGGGAAUAUUGGACAAUGGGCGCAAGCCUGAUCCAGCCAUGCCGCGUGAGUGAUGAAGGUCUUAGGAUUGUAAAGCUCUUUCACCGACGAAGAUAAUGACGGUAGUCGGAGAAGAAGCCCCGGCUAACUUCGUGCCAGCCGCCGCAGUAA
This 447-nucleotide ribosomal RNA is filed under the name uncultured bacterium. RNAcentral's name for it is "partial 16S ribosomal RNA". It matches the Rfam family "Bacterial small subunit ribosomal RNA", at positions 29 to 523 of the family's 1533-position model. The record is from RNAcentral.